AGAGGUAGUGAUUAUCAUUCUUUAUUAUCUACAGUUGUACAUAACUUGUGUUUGUAGCCAAUAUAACGUGCACUCUGAUUAGCUAAUACUAGAGAAUUAUUCUUCUGUAAUGCCCACAGACUGAUUACGGGCCUGCAAAAACAAAGCAAAAAGUCAUACUAGACAACUUAUUAAUCUCAAAUGUUCGGUCGUUACAGGAAAAUCUCCAACUGAGACCUUGCCAUACUGACUGAGCGAUGACCUGGCUCUCGGUUAAUAAGUACAUGUAGUUUGUAUACUGAUAGUUAAUUUGUGAUGUUUUUGAAUUACAGGGGAGGAGUGGUUCGACUGGAAAAGUUAUUUACUUGAUGGGGAAGAAGAAGAAAUUAUUGGUCUUCCCAAUCAACAGUAUCUGGAUUGGUCAGAUGAAGAGGAUGAGGAGCUAGAGUUGACAAGUGAUUCUGCUGCAAUCAGCCUUGAUCAGAGACAGCUGGCAUCUAGUCAGGAUCAGUUUGAAAGAGGAACAAGAAAUAGUGUCACAGACAGGGAAAUUACCGCAAGCUCCAUUCCUAGCCAGGACAGAAGCUGGAUUUCCGACCAAAUAGUUGCUCAAUAUUG
Long non-coding RNA from Orbicella faveolata, 597 nucleotides. NCBI's taxonomy places the organism in Eukaryota, Metazoa, Cnidaria, Anthozoa, Scleractinia, Merulinidae. The record is from RefSeq and is a predicted model, not a curated record.